AGCUCCACUGCACGUGUGGCAUUUGGGCGCUCUCUGACAGUGAUGACUGCCUUUCUGUUCAGUGUCUGAGCACUAUGAAAAUUGCACACAGGUGUCCAGAUGCAUUUCACUUUGAGAAUGUCAAUGGAUACACAAACUGUUGCUUUGGAUUUUACCGGCUGGCAGUGGCUGACCAGCUGUUUGGAAAACAGCCAAUUCAAGUGAAUAAAUGUCCUUAUUUGUGGCUCUGUUACAAUGGUAAAAUCUACAACUACAAGAAGAUCCAACAUCAUUCUGAAUUUGAAUAUAAAACCAAAGGGGAUAAUGGUGAAAUAAUCCUUCAUCUUUAUGACAAAAUUCUUCAUCUUCAUGACUAUUUAUAUGCUGGAUAGUGUAUCUGUGUUUAUUUUACUGGAUAUUGUCAAUAACAAAGUAUUACUACUGGGCAGAAAGACAUAUAGAGUUAUACCUUUGUUUAAAGUCAUGACAGAAGAUAGAUUUUUGGCUGUGUGUUUAGAAGUUCACAGUCUUGUUAUACUGGAGCACUCCAUGAAUACCUUUUUUUUUUUUUUUUUUUUGAGUUGGAUCUUCCCCAAACAUCAUGAAGUUUUAGACUUAAGGCCAAAUGGCAAAGUUGCAUCCAUGGAAAUGGAUAAAUAUCAAUACUAUAGGGAUGAAUCAGGAUGAAUCACUAUAUCUCCUCUACGACAACUUGGAGAAACUCUUCUCAGGUUUUGAGACAGAAACUGUGAAGAGCAACCUCUGGAUCCUUUUUAACAAUGCUAUGAAGAAGUGUCUGAUAACAGAAAGAUUGGCUGCCUUUCAUCAGGAGGCUUGGACUCCAGCUUGCUUGCUGCCACUCUGUUGAAGCAGCAAAAAAAGGCUCAAGUACAGUACACUCUCCAGACAUUUUCAAUUAGUGUGGAAGACAACCUUGAUUUAUAGGUGUCUAGAAAGGUAACAAAUCCUAUUGGAAGUGGACAUCACGAAGUCCUCUUUAACUCUAAAGAAGGUAUUCGGGUUCUAGAUGAAGCUACGUUUUCCCUGGAAACUUACAUUUUGUGCUUCGUAGAUAUGUAUUUAAUUUCCAAGUAUAUUUGGAAGAACAGAUAAAAUUAGGGUUAGGGUGAUCUUCUCUGGAAAGAGAUCAGAUGAACUUGCCCAGGGUAAUAUGUAUUUUUCACAAGGCUUCCUCUGAAAAAGCCAAGGGGGAGCAUGAGAGGCUGGCUAAAGGAACUCCGUUUGAUGGUCUCCAAGAAGAUGAAACUACUGCUGCCCAUGGACUUGAACUGAAAGUCCCAUUUCUGGAUCAUAGAUUUUCUUCGUAUUACUUGCCUCUGGCCCAGAAAUGAGAAUUCCAAAGAAUGGGACAGAAAAACAUCUGAGAGAAACAUUUGAGGACUAUAAUCUGACACCUAGAGAGAUUCUCUGGAGACAAAAAGAAACCUUUAGUGAUGCAAUAACAACAGUAAAAACUCCUUAAGAUUUUACAGGAAUAUGUUUAACAUCAGGUUAAUGAUGUAAUAAAGGCAGAUUCAGCCCAGAAAUUUCCCUUCAAUACUCCUAAAACCGAGGAAGCCUGUCAUUACCAUUAAAUCUUUGAAUACCACUACCUAGACUGGGCUGACUGGCUUGGCCUUUACCGGCUGCCCAAGUAGAUCAGUGCUACUGACCCUUCAGGCCACACACUGACCCACUACAAGCCAACUGACAAAGCUUUAGGCAUUCUCAAAGCUACAAAGUGA
Molecule: RNA transcript, 1724 nt
Organism: Carlito syrichta (Philippine tarsier)
Lineage: Eukaryota; Metazoa; Chordata; Mammalia; Primates; Tarsiidae
Gene name: asparagine synthetase [glutamine-hydrolyzing] pseudogene
Exons: 2
Source: RefSeq, a predicted model, not a curated record